GACGAACGCUGGCGGCGUGCUUAACACAUGCAAGUCGAACGGACAGGCGCUGCGUUUGUGGGGUGCUCGAGUGGCGAACGGGUGAGUAACACGUGAGUAACCUGCCCUUGACUUUGGGAUAACUUCAGGAAACUGGGGCUAAUACCGGAUAGGAGCUCCUGCUGCAUGGUGGUGGUUGGAAAGUUUCGGCGGUUGGGGAUGGACUCGCGGCUUAUCAGCUUGUUGGUGUGGUAGUUGCUUACCAGGGCUUUGACGGCUAGCCGGCCUGAGAGGGUGAACGGGCACAAGGGGACUGCGAGAGGGCCCAGACUCCAACGGGAGGCAGCAGUGGGGAGUAUGGCACAAUGGGCGGAAGUCUGAGAUAGCAGCGUCGCGUGCGUGAUGACGGCCUUCGGGUGAUAAACAGCUGUCGACUGUGACGAAGCGGGAGUGACGGUAAUGGGUAAAGAAGCACCGGCUAACUACGUG
RNAcentral lists this ribosomal RNA (468 nucleotides) under uncultured bacterium. RNAcentral describes it as "partial 16S ribosomal RNA". It matches the Rfam family "Bacterial small subunit ribosomal RNA", at positions 28 to 507 of the family's 1533-position model. The record is from RNAcentral.